CAAGUAGAUCGCCUUAUCGAACCAAAUUUAUUUUGGUUAGGAAAGUCCGAACACCAGAGUGCAAACAUAGUGGCUAACAGCCACCAGCCGUAAGGUUAGGAAAAGUGCAACAGAAAGUAUGUACAGGUAAUGCUGUAGUGAAACCAGGUAAACUCUAUGUGGUGCAAUGUCAUGUAUACCAACGUUUGAGCACGGCACGUGCGAUUGUUGGAGGGUAGGCAGCUAGAGUGUAUUGGCAACAAUACAUCCAGAUAAAUGAUAAGGGCUUUUUAGUUUUAAUUAAAAAGUACAGAAUUCGGCUUAUAGAUUUACUUAAAUA
This 319-nucleotide RNase P RNA is filed under the name Bizionia argentinensis JUB59. Its description in RNAcentral is "Bacterial RNase P class A". It matches the Rfam family "Bacterial RNase P class A". Rfam says of the family: Ribonuclease P (RNase P) is a ubiquitous endoribonuclease, found in archaea, bacteria and eukarya as well as chloroplasts and mitochondria. Lineage: Bacteria; Pseudomonadati; Bacteroidota; Flavobacteriia; Flavobacteriales; Flavobacteriaceae. The record is from Rfam by way of RNAcentral.